UGUUUGAGCGCCAUCUGGUGGACAGACGCCAUUUUGAAUUGAAACUCGUCCGCCAUCUUGUAAUUGAGGUGAACGAGGAGAAAGUAGUGCCGAUGUUCAUCUCACUACCCAAAUUGAACUUGUAUUCUUUCACUGAAAAUAGUACCUUGUCUUAUGUUGAAAAAAAAAUAUUUGACUUUUGAUUUUUAAAUAUCAGUCCCUAUAAUAUGGAAUAACGACCAAAUCAAAGAAGAAUAAAACAGAAUCUAUAAAUAAUUAAUCUAAUUGGGAUGUUAAAAUAAAGGUGAUAAACGUGGCGCGGAUUGAUACAUGUCGGAGAAGAGGACAGCGCGAGGCGGACGGUUCAAUUGAGCUGUUCGUCAGGAGUGUACAGUCACGGUUAGCAUACCAUGAAGAUCCUCGGGCAUAAUCUUAUGACCUCUUUAAGAUGCAGAAGAAGACGACAUUCCUCAGACAUCUUGGUGCAGGAAGUACAAGAGGAUCCCCAUGCUCAGUGUUAGCCAACUCCAGCAGCACACCUUCUUUAUCUUCCAAAGUCUGCUUCUCCCCAAAGCGAGCCACAAAACCUGACUUGGAGAAGCACACGUACAGACUUAUUAACUGUUGCAUGGUCUGAUAUCCUGCACAUAUUAUUCAUCUGUUCUCAGACUGAUAUGUAGCUGUAACAUGUAUAGUGUAUGUGUGGUUACUACAGACACAAAGCUGCUGUUUGAGGGUCACCACAGAAGAUCACUGAUUCUAGGACAAAUUUUAUGCCGGAUGCAAAAAUCCAUUUUCCAGGCUUGGGAUCGGCACUGAGAGAGCAACGGCUCGUGCAACCCUCAGUGGCUGGGGUUGGUUCCCUGACCCAGAAUCAAACCCGGACCGCGGCGAUGAGAGCUCUAGCCACUAGUCCGUGAGGGAACCUGUUAAUUUCUCGAUGCAGUAAAGUGUUAAAAUUCUUGUCUGUGGCAAUCACUCUUAUUCUACAGAUGUGGUAGAUAGCGAGUAGUUUGAAAAACACUGCAGUAUUACUUUAUGACCUAAAGUUGACUACUAGGGCACAAGACAGCACUCUUGCCCCUGCAGAACUAUGGUUAUACCCCGUUAUUUUGCUCCAUAUAAAAUAAUCUGGACAUCUACAGUAGGAUGUUUGUUAAUGCCUGAAAACUGCAGUUCCCACUAUCUCUUAUUACUCCUUGCCCUGCUGCCAACUUACCCAUCCUCUCUGGUCUCUGAUCGCAGGACAGAUGAUUCACUCAACAUAGUUGCCUGCAGACUGCUGGAGCUGGGGCAGAACUCUAUCCAUGCCAUUCUGCUGGCAGUGCAGUGCCAUUUGACCAGCAAGUACAAACACAGAGAUGACGGUGCUCCAGGCCAGGUCCCUGUGCCUCAUCUGAGAGAAGUGCUGAACAUGUAGAACAUGCUGUGUCCUCUGUCGCGUCCCGGAAGACGCGUGGCCAGUGGCGGAAGAAGAUCGGGAAGCGCUGGAGGAGCUCGUCUCCUGCGUGACGCAAUGCUGCUGAGGCUUAAGAGGGUGCCGGGCCUAGCGGUGUGCCUGGUUUGACUGUUACAUAGUUAAUAUAAUCGUAGACCAUCAAGUAGGCCUCUCGAACCAGUGGAUCAGGGCUGGAAAGGCCCUGGCCAAUCAAAUCUAUUAGGCCCAUCAAUGCUGUAUCCAAUCAGGGUCUUGGUUUUCAGUUGGGAUUUUCCUGCAUGAUGAUCUGCCUUGGUAUCUUUUUGUCAGGGUUCUGCAAACACAUUAAAUCGCACAAGCAGAAACCUACUUAGAUUCAUCUGUAUAAUGCUAGCAGUAAAGUUGUUGUGAUCCUUCAAACCUUCCUAGGUACAAAGUGUCACAUCAAAUACACACAUCCACAUCCAUCCACGUGUCCACAGACGCUGGAGUGACUUACCCCUUGAGAAUUAUCCAAGAAGUCCCAAGAACACUAAGGCUCAGUUAGCAGCUGGAAGAACAACAACGAAUUAGCUCUUUUGUCUGCUUUCUCGGUCAUCUGAGGUGCAAGCAUGUGUGUAUAUUUAUGCAUGUGUUCCAAUAUGUUGACCCUGGUUAUAUUUAGCGCUCCUGUUGGUUGAACGUGUACAAUCUCGGAGCAUCAGACCACCACCACCACCCCCUGUCCUCUGGAUCCAGCUAAAAAUAUUACGCACUCAGAUGAGUGAGCCUCGAUAAUUCU
Molecule: long non-coding RNA, 2177 nt
Organism: Ictalurus punctatus (channel catfish)
Lineage: Eukaryota; Metazoa; Chordata; Actinopteri; Siluriformes; Ictaluridae
Exons: 3
Source: RefSeq, a predicted model, not a curated record